CGUUCCUGGCUGCUGCAUUCACCUCCAGCGUUUGUGAUGCCCCAGAGCACAGAACUCCAGGGAGCCCACGAUGCAGGAGAGUUCAGCGACAUUCACUGAGUACAAGAGAAGACUGUUGGGAGGCACCAAUGGACUUUGCAACUGGAGAUCUCCCAACUGGACCAUGUCACUGUUAUGUUUAAUUUGCACUGUGCACAGUAGGUACCCAGUCAACGUUUGUCGAAUUCCAUGGACUGGGCCUUAUACCUCCGAGGAUUUUUCACAGCAGUAGCAUGUGCACAUGCACAGAACGAGAACACAACCAAUGCUUGUUUGCUGGUGAAGACCUGGUCUCAGUAUUUUGCCCAGGAAACCCUUUCUUCAUGGACAGCAUGAGGCAAGCUAUGGCCCUUGCUGUGGUCUCAGUGGUUCAGCACGGAAGAUGAAGAUGACGGGCAGUCUCAGAAUAUUAGCUUUAGAAGGGACUUUGGAUCCUUUUGAUUUUGGUAGGUGAAAUACUUUUUAAAAAUAAAGAAAACGGACUUUGGA
This 528-nucleotide long non-coding RNA is filed under the name Homo sapiens (human). Its description in RNAcentral is "novel transcript". The record is from RNAcentral. Lineage: Eukaryota; Metazoa; Chordata; Mammalia; Primates; Hominidae.